Long non-coding RNA from Ruditapes philippinarum (Manila clam), 8200 nucleotides. RefSeq lists it as uncharacterized. The record is from RefSeq and is a predicted model, not a curated record. Lineage: Eukaryota; Metazoa; Mollusca; Bivalvia; Venerida; Veneridae. The transcript has 3 exons.
ACAGAAAACUUACCAAUAUUAUUUGAACUUAUUGUAAUCUGUUUUGGAAUUCUUAUUUGGAUUUCAUGAUGUGUAACAGUGUUGAUAAUUCAGGUGUCUUGAUAUAUUUUUUUUGUUGUUUGAGUUGUUUCCCUUGUUUUCCCCGCAAUAUCACUAGUUUUGUCUAUGUUUAAGCGGCUUUGUUUGUAAAAAGUUCGAAGUGUUCUUAAUUUAUUGGAAAUAUGGAUUAUUGAUAGUUGAAGUUACAGCAGAGAGAGAUAGAGUUUGACAGUAUGCGUGUUUGAAGAAGAUAAUGCUUUUAUUGGUACAUUCAAUUCCACGAACUGAGUGUUGAUUUCCUCGAUUUCAUUGACUUGAUGAUUCAUUCUCUGAUUUAUGAUUGUUGAUUGAAUGUUCUAAUGAUCAAUCAACUUACUGAUUUACUGAUUGAUUGGACAUGUCAUGGAGCUUAAUAUAGAUGUAGAAGUAACUUAGACGUCAUACAGUUAAAUUCAGUAUUAUUGGGGUUGUUCUAGUGCAAGUUAUCAUGUGUUUCGGGAUUUUCCAAGAUUUGAUGCAUCCAGGGUAAUAGUAGCCAAAAUACCGCCAUAUUCAAUUCGAAGAGGAACAUUGACAAAAAAAGAAGAAGCAUUUUCUACUUACAUAAGAAGCAAUAGUUAUUUAUGUUAAAACGUACCAUACACACUUUUCCACACAGAUAUUUCUCAAAAAAAAAAAUGUCGGCAAUGUAAACAGUAGUUCAUGGAUAUUGCCGAAGUUUAACGAGAGUGCGAGAAUCGGGGGCUAGUGGGAAAACACGAUUAUCACCGAAGCGCACUGUGGAUCUGAAUCUGACUAUCAACUAUUUUCUGAGCUUCCUAUCCAUUGUAUAUAAAUAUCUGUGGACAUGUAAGACGAAUAUAUGUGAACUGUAAGAUGUUGAAAUGUGCCGAGUUGUUUGUUUAGAUGAGAAAUACACAAUUUUUGGAGAAACUUUUUGUUUGAAUGAUAAAGGUAUAAACACUUUUUGUAAAUGCACAUCAGGCUACCAUUUUCAUAGUAAUGGCAGGGCUUUCAUUAAUGGAAGUUUGUGAGUCAUUUCACUCCUUGAAUUUGGCUUGUGACUUCCAAAAUGUAAUGCUUUUUUCUUCUUUACCAAUAUUUUGUUACUUCCAAUGUCAAGACAUUUUGCAGUCUUUGACUUCCGAAUUUUGGAUCUUAAUGGAAGCCCUGAAUGCCAGUGGACCUACAUGUUUCACCUAAAUUGUAUUGGAAAUAUGUGAAAAACUUCCUUUUAAAAAGUUUCUAGCUGAAGUUAAGCAGAGAAAUGCAUUGGAUACCUCAGAAUAUUGCUAUGUUGUUAAAAAAAUUCCAAGCCUUAUGGUCACAUAUUCAUGGAAAAAUUCGAAGAAAGGAAAAUAGAUUGUCAGGUGUAUAGAUUUCCAGUCUGCUUAUCAUUUACAUACAAUCUGGAAAACUUCAGUAGUGUCACUGGGGUCAAAAUUUAUCCUGUCUAAUGGUAAUGUUGUAAGAAGUUCUAUUUUUUGUUUAAAGCAUAAAGUUUAAUGCAUAUAUAUGUAUUAUAAUAGAAAUUAGAUAUAUGUAUGGAUAUUUUGUGUAAACAAACAUGUGAAAACCCUGGAACAUCAUUGCUAAAGCAAUAUUGUUAGGUACAAUACCAUACAUUUAAUAGGCAAGAAAGGUACAGUAAAAUAUCAUUUACUAUAGAUUUAGGAUGCAAGAAAAGAUAAAAUAUCAUUCCUCGCUUCUUAGUACAAAAAGUGCCAUAUCACUUUUAUAUUUAUAUUAAUGUUUACUGCAUAAAACACUUUCUUACUUUUCAUUUUUAGCUGGACUAUACAAAGUAUAUGGAGAGCCGUCCUACUUGCCCCGGCAUCCGCGUCCUUAGUCAGAUUAAAGUUUUGGUUUUCCACAUCUUAUGUGACAAGGUUCAUAAUUCUAGCACCACUAUUUUCAGAUUUAUCUCCCCUUGAACUUAGAAUUUUACUUAAAAAAUAUUAUUUUCUAUCGUUACUUCCUUAUUUCUUAAGGGAUCAACUUCAUACUUCAAAUAUAUGUUCCUUAUCAUCAACCACAUCUUAUGUGACACGGUUCAUUACUCUAUUACCAAUAUUUUCAAAUUUAUCUCCUCUUGAAGAUAGAAUUUUCCUAAAAAAGUUAUUUUUAGCUCGACUAUUCGAUAAGAAAAAGUAGAGCUGUUGUAGUCGCCAGUGCGUCAGUUUUGUUGUCGGCGUCUGCGUCAGCAUAGGUGUAAUAACUUAUGUUAAAGUUUUUGUAAUAUCUCAAAUAUCAAAGUCUAUUGAUAUAUGGCUUUGAAACUUUGCACACUUGUUCACCAUCAUGACCCAACCUGUAAACAUGAUGAGAUAACUGGAUCAAGCAUUUUGACAGAAUUAUGCCCCUUUUCUGACUUAGAUUUUAUGUUAUUUAAUUAAAGUUUGCAUACCACCUCAGAUAUUUUCAUAUACUAUUGACAUCUGGCUAGGAACAAGUUGAAAUUUUAUACUCUUCUUUGAGAGCAUAAUAGGACUCUCUUCAAGGCCUAUAACAGUAACAUGGAUUUAAAGGAAAAUUUGGCCCUUUUGUUAAUAUUUAACAUUACCAAGGCUCUUUUUCUAUCAAGCACUUAGAAUGGUAGAGCGUUGCUGUCCUACCGACAGCUAUUAUUUACUGUUACUUAUUUAUUUCUUAAGGGAUCAACUUCAUAUUUCAAAUAUAUGUUCCUUAUCAUUAACCAAAUGUUAUGUGACAAGGUUGUUAACGCUAGCACCAAUAUUGCAAGAAUUACCUCCCCAUGAACUUAAAUUUUUGUUACUUGAAAAAUAUUAUUUUUUACUAUGACUUUUUUAGUUUCAAAGGCAUCUACCUCUUACUUCAAAUGCAUAUAUCUUAUCAUCAAUUACAUCUUAUGUGACUAGGUUCAUAAUUUACUCUUAAAGCAAUAUUUUCAGGUUAAUAUCCCUUUGAACUUUUUUUUAAAGAAAUAUUAUAAGUAAUUUAAUUUAAUUUUUAGCUCACCUGAGCAAUGCUCAGGGUGAGCUAUUGUGAUGGCCCUGUGUCCGUCGUCAAGCGUCGUCAACUUUUAACAUAAACAACCUCUCCUCUGAAACCAAUGACUGCACAUCGACCAAACUUUACAGAAAUGAUCCUUGGGUGGGCCCCUUUCAAAGUUGUUCAAAUGGUUCCGGUCUGUUGCAUAUGUAGGUCAUAGGGCCAGAAAAGGAUUUCAAAAAACACAAAAUUAAAAAAAUCUUCUUGUCUGAAAGUACAUGGGCCAGAGCUUUGAUUUUUGGUAUAUGGUAUCAUCUAUGGGUCCUCUACCAAAGUUGUUCAAAUUUUGUCCCUUAAAGUGUCAAAAUUGGCCCCGCCCUGGGGGGUCAUAGGUUUUUCCUUAUAUGUAUAUAGUAAAAUCUAGAAAAAUCUUCUUCUCUGAUUUGGCAAAGGCUACAGAUUAGAUAUUUGGCAUGAAACAUUGUGUUUUAGACCUCUAUCAAGAUUGUUCAAAUAAUGGACGGGGGGUCAUUGAUUCUCAUUACAUACAUAUAGUAAAAACUUGAAAAAUAUUCUGGUCUGAAAGUAAAAUGGCCUAGAGCUUUGAUAUUUGGUCUAUGGUAUCACCUAUAGGUCCAAAACCAAACUGUUCUAAUUUUGUUCCUAGAAUUAAAAUCGGCCCCGCCCUGGGGGGGGGGGUCAUUGAUUUUCCCUAUAUGUAUAUAGUGAAAACUUAAAAAAUCUCCUUUUAAAGAACCCAAAGAAUGAAAACAUCUUCUAAUGGUUGUCUACCAAGUUUGUUCAAAUAAAAGCCCUGUGGUCAAAAUUGGCCCCGUCCCAGGGGGUCAUUGAUUUUCCCUAUAUGCAUAUAGUAAAAACUUAAAAAAAAUUCUUUUAAAGAAUGUAAAGAGCUAGAGCUAAGAUAUUUAGCAUGAAAUAUGUUCUAAUGGGUGUCUACUAAGUUCGUUCAAAUGAGAGCCCAGGGGUCAAAAUUGGCCCCGCCCCGGGGGUCAUUCAUUUUCCUUAUAUGCAUAUAACAAAAACUUAAAAGAUCUUUUUUGAUGAAAAAAUCAAAUAGCUAGAGUUUAGAUACAAAGCAUGAAACAUCUUCUAGUGAGUGUAUUCCAAGUUUGUUCAAAUAAAAGCCCUGGGGUCAAAAUUGCCCCGCCCCGGGGUCAUUCAUUUUCCUUAUAUGUGUAAAGCAAAAACUUAAAAAUCUUCUUCGAAAAAACCUGAAUAGCUAGAGUUCUGAUAUUAAGCAUGAAACAUUGUCUAGUAAGUGUCUACAAAGAUUGUUCAAAUAAAAGCCCUGGGAUCAAAACUGGUCCUGCCCCAGGUGUGUCAUUGUUUUUAACUAUAUGUGUAAAGAAAAAAACUUGAAAAAAUCUUCUUUUAAAAAAAACCCAACAAGCUAGACCUUAGAUGUUUAGCAUGAAACAUCAUCUAAUGGGUGUCAACCAAGUUUGUUCAAAUAAAAGCCCUGGGGUUUAAACUGGCCCCGCUCCGGGGGUCUAUAUACAGGUGAGCGACUUUGGGCCAUCAUGGCCCUCUUGUUUAUAUUUCUUAUCAUUACACAUAUGUUGUGUGACAAGCAUGACUAUUUCCAGAAUUACCCCCUCCCUCCCACCCCCCCCCCACCUUGAACUUAUUUAUGGAAUUUAUGUAAACAAAUGUUCAUAGUUUCAUAGUUUUGUCUUCCAUACCAACUUAUCUCAGCCUCUUGAUAUUUGGUAUACAGUAUUGACGUGGUCCCAUACUGUCGGAUUUGAUUUCAGGUCUGUCCCUCACCAAGCCCCGUUUACCGUUAAAUUUUCAACAUUAAUGGUCAAUGGUAGGAAAUUUUUGUGACAGAUUUUUUAGCAACUACUUAUCACAGGCUCUUGAUAUUUGACAAACAGCAUUGACACAUGGUCUUAUACUGUGGGAUUCGAUUUCAAGUCUUUCACUCAUCCACUUCCUGUUAACUGACUUAUUUAAAUUUUCCACAUUAAUGGUCAGUGGUAAAUAUUUUUCAAAACAUUACAGCAUCAUGAUAUUUGGUAUAGAAAUGCAACCCGACCUUUUCUGUCUUUGACCCAUUUUUUUUUUUUUUUUUUUUAAAUUUUGAAAUCAUUCAUUUAUUAUUGUUGAAAUCUACUUAUAAUACCUUUAAAAUACCAUGUUCCCAGUACUUUUUAUUUACAUGCUUAAGUUGUUCUUAACAUACACAAAACAAACUUGUACAUUCCUUUAUUAGAAAUUGUCUUUUUUUAUAUAACCAGGCACAAGUGACAAGAUAAUAUUUAUUUAUAUGCUAUUAUCAUUGUGGACACAAACUGUAAACAAAGGUAUCAUUUUUGAUUCUAGUCAAAGUAAAAAACAAACAGUGAUUGCACUAGAGUUAUAUCAGAAAGUUUGUGGGAGCUUUACAUGCUCAUAACAUUUCUAUCUUUGUCAGAGAAAUAUUUGAUUUCUGAGAACUAUUUUGACUUCAAUUUCCAAAGAAACAUGACACUACACCCCAAAUUUAAAUGCAUAAUAACUAUUACAUUUGUUUGACUUAACUGUUUCUUAUGGUCAAUAGUGUUACAUGUAUAUAUUUAUUUAUGUUAAUUUUACAUUUGCUUGUUUUUCUAUCAUUUCAAUCCAUUGUCUUAAUCAUUAUAUAAUUUGAUAAUACCUUAAUUAUGUAGCAUUGUUUUUAGAUUUACAUUGUAUUUGCAAUUUUGUGAACAUUUAUCAGUAAGUUAUAUUCUUAAUAAAAGAAAUUUCACAAUUGAUAUGAAGUACCAAGCCAUUUAUAGAGUGUGUUUCCAAUUUAUGAAAAUGUUUUUAACAAAUGAAUUAAAAUUGAGCAAUCACCAUACUUUCUAGCAUAAGAAUCUUAAAAUAAAUUACUUAAAUUGCAAGCAAGUUGCAAUUUUAUACAUGAGAUAAACUUAUCGUGACGAAAUUUGUUUUUCAUGUUAGCAAGUUCUGUAUAUAUGCUUUAAUUAGAAAAGAACACUGAUUAUGUAUGAAGUAACUGAAAUAUUGAAAGCUUUAUAAUAGAAUGUUUGUCAUGCAACAUUUAAUUGGGUAAGAUUCAGACUAUUAGAUAAGGCGAUGUACUUAUUAAUGCUGUUAUAAUUACAUGUAUUAUUAUUGUGAGUAAAAAGGUUCUUGGGAUAUUUCUAUCAUGUUUUAACGAGGGGCAUAGAUAAUAUGCAUUGUUUACUUUUUAGCUCACCUGUCAGAAAGUGACAGGGUGAGCUUUUGUGAUCGCUUGUCGUCCGUCCGUCUGUCCAAAAACUUUUACUUUAAAUGACAUCUCAUAAACCACUUCGCCAAUUUCAUCCAAACUUCACAGGAAUGUUCCUUUGGUGGUCACCUUUGAAAAUUGUUCAAAGAAUUUAAUUCCAUGCAGAACUCUGGUUGCCAUGGCAACCAAAAGAAAAAAUCUUAAAAUAUCUUCUUCUAAAAAACACAAAGAGCUAGAGCUUAGAUAUUUGGCAUGAAACAUCUUCUAGUGAGUGUCUACCAAGUUUGUUCAAAUAAAAGCCCUGGGGUCAAAAUUGGCCCCGCCCCAGGGGUUCAUUGAUUUUCCCUAUAUGCAUAUAGUAAAAACUUAAAGAUUCUUCUUUUAAAGAACCCAAAGAGCUAGAGCUAAGAAAUUUAGCAUGAAACAUCUUCUAAUGGGUGUCUACCAAGUUUGUUCAAAUUAAAGCCCUGGGGUCAAAAUUGGCCCCACCCCAAGGGGUCAUUGAUUUUCCCUAUAUGCAUAUAGUAAAAACUUAAAAAAUCUUCUUUUAAAGAACCAAAAGAGCCAGAGCUAGCUAUGAUAUUUGGCCUAAAACAUGUUCUAAUGGAUGUCUACCAAGUUUGUUCAAAUAAGAGCCCUGGGGUCAAAAUUGGUCCCGCCCCGUUGGUCAUUGAUUUUCCUUAUAUGUGUAAAGCAAAAACUUAAAAAAUCUUCUUUGAAAAAACCCAAAUAGCUAGAGUUUAGAUAUUAAGCAUGGAACAUCUUCUAGUAAGUGUCUACAAAGUUUGUUCAAAUAAAAGCCCUGGGGUCAAAAUUGGUCCCACCCCGGGGGUCAUUGAUUUUCCUUAUAUGUGUAUAACAAAAACUUAAAAAUCUUCUUCAAAAAAUCUGAAUAGCUAGAGUUCAGAUAUUAAGCAUGAAACAUUUUCUAGUAAGUGUCUACAAAGAUUGUUCAAAUAAAAGCCCUUGGGUCCAAACUGGCCCUGCCCCAGGUGUGUCAUUGUUUUUAACUAUAUGUGUAAAAAAAAAACUUGACCAGCUAGACCUUAGAUGUUUAGCAUGAAACAUUUUCUAAUGGGUGUCUACCAAGUUUGUUCAAAUAAAAGCCCUCGGGUUUAAACUGGCCCCGCUACGGGGGCCUUUAUACAGGUGAGCGACUUCAGGGCCAUCAUGGCCCUCUUGUUUAUCAAUAUUGUAAUUGGGUUUUAAAACUGUGUUUUCUUAAAUAUGGAUAUUAUUGAAUCAUCCUUGACAUCAGUAUUCUCAUUUUUUUAGCUCACAUUAGCAAAAGCUCAGCUAUUACAAUCAGUCAAAGAUUCCUAGUCUGUCCAUCAUCCAUAUUUCAAUAAUGUCAUACUAAACUACUCAGUUUGAAAACGUCAAAAAUUCUCAUUUACUGUGUGCAAGAACGCUUAAAAUUAAUUUGGUCUUUUGCAUGAUAAGGUCACAGUAGGUAAAAAAACGAUAAGAUAUUACAACCAUCCUUUUCUCUUAUUGUCCCAUUUUGCUUGUUUUGCAUUAUUAAAGCCAUUUACUCAUGCUCCCAUUCCAUUUGUAAUGUUUCUUUGCAAAAAAGUAAAUAACAGACUUUUAAAAUUUAUUUUUGACUGUUACAGGCUAAUUAAAAUUAUAAUACUCAAACUAUUAAAAGUACUUUUUUUGUAUUUUUUUUAAUCUCAGAAAUUUUUAAAAUUAAAGUAUUUUACAAAAAUACCUAUAUUUUCUUCUUAAAUUUCAUGAAAUUAACAUGUUCCAAGUUUCACUUUUCAUCAAAACUGAAAUGCUUUAGCUAGGUAAUCUGUCUGUCAUUACAUUUGAAGCUUAUGUAGCAAUAUAGUAUUCUAGGUAUUGUUACUGUAUAUAUAUUCAUUAUAACAUAAUUCUCUCAUCAUGUUAAGGAUCUAGUCAUGAAUGUACUGCAUGCAUUCAUAUUUUGGAUGUAUAUUUUAUUGUACCACUUAGAUAAUGUAAUAAAGUUGUUCUCAUUUA